AACAAAAUAAAAAAAUAAAAUAAAAACUUUUCACCAUAUGUUGUGAAUCAGGAAAUAAGCAUCAAAUAGGGAACAGAAAAAAGACAGGAGCAAUGUUGUCAUAUACAUACAAGGAUGAAUAAGUCGUAUGUAUGUAAAGAAAGUACAUCAAAAUGUGAGAAAAAAUUUAUGAGGGUAUAUUUGUAAUACCUAUAAACUAUCCACCUGAAAUCAGCUCUCAUCCGCUUUCAAGAAUCUAUAUUAAACUAAAGAAUACGCUGACUUUCAUUCAAACAACUCAAACUAAAAUCAUGUCCAAAUCCCCUCAUCCACACAUAGCAUUUCUGCUAAUAAUAAGUAUAAAUUCAUUUCUUCACAUUGAGUGUCUUUUGAAAAAUCUGGGUUUUUUUGGGUAUUCCGGCAAAAGAUCCCAUAGAAAACAACAUACUGAUUGUACCUUUUUUUAAUGAGUAGAGCUAGCCAAAGAAACAAUCAAUAAGUUGGAAUUAAAUGAAUGAGAUAAUCUGAUAGUUGCAGUAGGUACCUCUAGGCUCUAGCAGUAAAAAUAAGUACAGCAAGCAAAUUAUAUCUGAAACCUGAGUAAAUAAAUUGUUCUUCCUCUAUGAAAAAAAUAGCAUUCACAUGCACAAUGGAGCAUUCACAACUUAACCACCACCUAUGCACCACACAGGCACAUGCAACAGACAGGAGAGGAAGAA
RNAcentral lists this unclassified non-coding RNA (698 nucleotides) under Hevea brasiliensis (rubber tree). The record is from RNAcentral. Lineage: Eukaryota; Viridiplantae; Streptophyta; Magnoliopsida; Malpighiales; Euphorbiaceae.